UCCUGUUCCAGCAUAAGGAAAAAUUGAUAAGAAAGAAAAAUGUAGAACGAAAAAGAGACGGUUCGAGCCGUAAAAAUGGUUCGAGAAAAGAAAAUGGGGUACCUCAAAGCAACAAAUCGUUUUCAAGACCCGAGAACUACCUUAUUUCGGCUUUGUGAAAAAAGAGACCUAUUUUUUAACGUAGUUCUUCCGAGAUGUGAUUGUAUUCUCAAAGAAGAAUAAAAUAAAAAGAAUACGAUUCUUUUUGCUUAUUACGUAUGAAAAUAUCUAACGUCGGUAUUUCAUGUUAGCUACAACUUCUGUCUUCUCAGUGUUAGUUAAAUAUCGAAAAUUUUUUAUUACGUGAGAAGCAUAAAAGUGGUCUUAAACUCAGUGUAAAUGUAUCAUUGAAUAUCCAUAAAAGUCUUUUUUUGAUGUAAUCGAUUUUCUAAGAAUGACAUUCGAACAACAAACUGGAUUUCCAUGUUUGGCUACUUUCCUCUAUAUAAUUGAAUUUUUAUUUCAUUUAUUAGAAGCAAUAUACAAAUAAUGAGGUGAAAAAUGCAAAAAUUAACCAAACGAUAAGAGAAAAGGUUAGAUCGUUUAUUUCUAAGAAGUUAAUUUAAAAAACUAAAUUAUUAAAGAACGAUCACGCGCCAUUUUUGACAAUUAUCUUAAAUGGUUGUUUUAAGUUUUCGGUAUUGCUUCAAAGCCAACACCGUUGUUUAUCAGUUGCUUCUUAGAACAUCCACAGCUGAAGAAAUAUCUAUAGCGUAAAAAAGUUUCGCGAAUAAAGACGCGAAGGUGAACGAAGUAGUUAUGCAAAUACCUCGAUGGACUAUGAAUAUAUUUGGUAACAAUCGUGACGAUAACCGUCGAAGUUUGAAACAUGUUUUCCAUUGAAAAA
This 886-nucleotide unclassified non-coding RNA is filed under the name Bombus terrestris (buff-tailed bumblebee). Its description in RNAcentral is "misc RNA ENSBTSG00005032561.1". The record is from RNAcentral. Lineage: Eukaryota; Metazoa; Arthropoda; Insecta; Hymenoptera; Apidae.